RNAcentral lists this ribosomal RNA (535 nucleotides) under Acalles papei. Its description in RNAcentral is "partial 16S ribosomal RNA". It matches the Rfam family "Bacterial large subunit ribosomal RNA", at positions 1860 to 2625 of the family's 2925-position model. The record is from RNAcentral. Lineage: Eukaryota; Metazoa; Arthropoda; Insecta; Coleoptera; Curculionidae.
GGCCUUUUGAUUAUAAUAUAAGGUCGGGCCUGCCCAAUGAUUAAUUUAAUGGCCGCGGUAUAUUGACCGUGCAAAGGUAGCAUAAUCAUUAGUUUUUUAAUUGAAAGCUUGCAUGAAGGGUUUAAUGAAAAAAAUACUGUCUCUAUUUAAAUUUAUUUGAAUUUUAUAUUUAAGUCAAAAAGCUUAAAUUUGUAUUGAAGACGAGAAGACCCUAUAGAGUUUAAUAUUUUAUUUAACAAUUAGAAAUUAAGGAUUUUAAAGGUUUGUUGUGUAAAGUAUUUAAUUGGGGUGAUUAAAAAAUUAACUUAACUUUUUUUGUAUUUUUACAUUGAUUAAUGAAUUGUUGAUCCUUUGCUUAAGAUUAAAAGAUAAAAUUACCUUAGGGAUAACAGCGUAAUUUUUCUAAGAGUUCUUAUCGAAAGAAAAGAUUGCGACCUCGAUGUUGGAUUAAAAUUAAUUAUUGGUGUAGAAGCUAAUAGAUUAGGUCUGUUCGACCUUUAAAUUUUUACAUGAUCUGAGUUUAAACCGGUGUAAG